RNAcentral lists this ribosomal RNA (547 nucleotides) under Bradyrhizobium sp. RNAcentral describes it as "bacterial SSU rRNA". It matches the Rfam family "Bacterial small subunit ribosomal RNA", at positions 67 to 658 of the family's 1533-position model. Lineage: Bacteria; Pseudomonadati; Pseudomonadota; Alphaproteobacteria; Hyphomicrobiales; Nitrobacteraceae. The record is from RNAcentral.
CGGGCAUAGCAAUAUGUCAGCGGCAGACGGGUGAGUAACGCGUGGGAACGUACCUUUUGGUUCGGAACAACUGAGGGAAACUUCAGCUAAUACCGGAUAAGCCCUUACGGGGAAAGAUUUAUCGCCGAAAGAUCGGCCCGCGUCUGAUUAGCUAGUUGGUGAGGUAAUGGCUCACCAAGGCGACGAUCAGUAGCUGGUCUGAGAGGAUGAUCAGCCACAUUGGGACUGAGACACGGCCCAAACUCCUACGGGAGGCAGCAGUGGGGAAUAUUGGACAAUGGGCGCAAGCCUGAUCCAGCCAUGCCGCGUGAGUGAUGAAGGCCCUAGGGUUGUAAAGCUCUUUUGUGCGGGAAGAUAAUGACGGUACCGCAAGAAUAAGCCCCGGCUAACUUCGUGCCAGCAGCCGCGGUAAUACGAAGGGGGCUAGCGUUGCUCGGAAUCACUGGGCGUAAAGGGUGCGUAGGCGGGUCUUUAAGUCAGGGGUGAAAUCCUGGAGCUCAACUCCAGAACUGCCUUUGAUACUGAAGAUCUUGAGUUCGGGAGAGGU